This 245-nucleotide ribosomal RNA is filed under the name uncultured Verrucomicrobiota bacterium. RNAcentral's name for it is "uncultured Verrucomicrobia bacterium partial 16S ribosomal RNA". It matches the Rfam family "Bacterial small subunit ribosomal RNA", at positions 524 to 768 of the family's 1533-position model. The record is from RNAcentral. Lineage: Bacteria; Pseudomonadati; Verrucomicrobiota.
UACAGAGGUCCCAAGCGUUGUUCGGAUUCACUGGGCGUAAAGGGUGCGUAGGCGGUGAGGUAAGUCUGACGUGAAGUCUCCGGGCCUAACCCGGAAACUGCGUUGGAUACUAUCUCGCUAGAGGAAUGGAGGGGAGACUGGAAUACUUGGUGUAGCAGUGAAAUGCGUAGAUAUCAAGUGGAACACCAGUGGCGAAGGCGAGUCUCUGGACAUUUCCUGACGCUGAGGCACGAAAGCCAGGGGAG